UGAUGUGGGGGAUAACCAUUGGAAACGAUGGCUAAUACCGCAUAAUAGCUUCGGCUCAAAGAGGGGGACCUUCGGGCCUCUCGCGUCAGGAUAUGCCCAGGUGGGAUUAGCUAGUUGGUGAGGUAAUGGCUCACCAAGGCGACGAUCCCUAGCUGGUCUGAGAGGAUGAUCAGCCACACUGGAACUGAGACACGGUCCAGACUCCUACGGGAGGCAGCAGUGGGGAAUAUUGCACAAUGGGCGCAAGCCUGAUGCAGCCAUGCCGCGUGUAUGAAGAAGGCCUUCGGGUUGUAAAGUACUUUCAGCAGUGAGGAAGGUGGUGUCGUUAAUAGCGGCAUCAUUUGACGUUAGCUGCAGAAGAAGCACCGGCUAACUCCGUGCCAGCAGCCGCGGUAAUACGGAGGGUGCGAGCGUUAAUCGGAAUUACUGGGCGUAAAGCGCAUGCAGGUGGUUUGUUAAGUCAGAUGUGAAAGCCCGGGGCUCAACCUCGGAAUUGCAUUUGAAACUGGCAGACUAGAGUACUGUAGAGGGGGGUAGAAUUUCAGGUGUAGCGGUGAAAUGCG
This 563-nucleotide ribosomal RNA is filed under the name Vibrio sp. CR-I-E1. RNAcentral describes it as "bacterial SSU rRNA". It matches the Rfam family "Bacterial small subunit ribosomal RNA", at positions 132 to 690 of the family's 1533-position model. Lineage: Bacteria; Pseudomonadati; Pseudomonadota; Gammaproteobacteria; Vibrionales; Vibrionaceae. The record is from RNAcentral.